CCUACGGGCGGCAGCAGUGAGGAAUAUUGGUCAAUGGCCGCAAGGCUGAACCAGCCAAGUCGCGUGAAGGAUGACUGCGCUACGGGUUGUAAACCUCUUUUAUCGGGGGAUAAAAUGCGGCACUUGUGCGUUUUUGAAGGUACCCUAUGAAUAAGCAUCGGCUAACUCCGUGCCAGCAGCCGCGGUAAUACGGAGGAUCGGAGCGUUAUCCGGAUUUAUUGGGUUUAAAGGGUGCGGAGGUGGGUUGUUAAGCCAGUGGUGAAAGUGGGGGGCUCAACCGUAGCAUUGCCGUUGGUACUGGCGGUCUUGAGUGCAGCGGAGGUAGGCGGAAUGCGCGGUGUAGCGGGGAAAUGCAUAGAUAUCACGCAGAACGCCGAUUGCGAAGGCAGCGUACCAAGCCGCCACUGACGCUGAGGCACGAAAGCGCGGGGAUCGAACAGGAUUAGAUACCCUAGUAGUC
This 460-nucleotide ribosomal RNA is filed under the name uncultured bacterium. Its description in RNAcentral is "partial 16S ribosomal RNA". It matches the Rfam family "Bacterial small subunit ribosomal RNA", at positions 338 to 795 of the family's 1533-position model. The record is from RNAcentral.